RNAcentral lists this transfer RNA (83 nucleotides) under Phycisphaerales bacterium. Its description in RNAcentral is "tRNA-Leu". It matches the Rfam family "tRNA". From Rfam's summary of the family: Transfer RNA (tRNA) molecules are approximately 80 nucleotides in length. Their secondary structure includes four short double-helical elements and three loops (D, anti-codon, and T loops). The record is from RNAcentral. Lineage: Bacteria; Pseudomonadati; Planctomycetota; Phycisphaerae; Phycisphaerales.
GCGAGAGUGGCGGAAUUGGCAGACGCGCCAGAUUUAGGUUCUGGUGGGUAACCCCCGUGCGGGUUCGAGUCCCGCCUCUCGCA